Molecule: non-coding RNA, 228 nt
Organism: Pelobates cultripes (western spadefoot toad)
Lineage: Eukaryota; Metazoa; Chordata; Amphibia; Anura; Pelobatidae
Source: the annotation of a GenBank genome assembly
CUGCCUGACAACCCAUGCCGAAAGUAUAGGGAAUUUAAUUUGCUAGCACUAUAUUUAACCCUAUAACUUUCCAAGACACCAUAAAACCUGUAAACUGUUUUACUCGGGAGACUUCGCUGAACACAAAUAUUAGUGUUUCAAAACAGUAAAAUGUAUUACAACAAUGAUAUCGCCAGUAAAAGUGAAGUUUUUUGCAUUUUUCACGCACAAACAGCACUUACAUGGAUG